AAUGAACGCUGGCGGCGUGCUUUACACAUGCAAGUCGAGCGAGGCGGCCCGCAAGGGUCAGUCGAGCGGCGAACGGGUGAGUAACGCGUGGAUGACCUGCCCUUUAGUGGGGAACAACCAGGGGAAACUCUGGCUAAUACCGCAUAAGACCGAAAGGUGAAAGGGGCGUCGCAAGGGCGUCUCGCUGAAGGAGGGGUCCGGCGUCCGAUUAG
Molecule: ribosomal RNA, 212 nt
Filed under: uncultured bacterium
Lineage: Bacteria
Description: partial 16S ribosomal RNA
Rfam family: Bacterial small subunit ribosomal RNA
Source: RNAcentral